Molecule: long non-coding RNA, 762 nt
Organism: Amphimedon queenslandica
Lineage: Eukaryota; Metazoa; Porifera; Demospongiae; Haplosclerida; Niphatidae
Exons: 2
Source: RefSeq, a predicted model, not a curated record
UAGGGUUUCUUGAUAAAAAGACUAAGUUCCAUUUUGCACUAUUGCGCAUGCGCACAAGCUGUUUUACGGAGAACAACGGACUGCCGGAUCUAUAGCCGCGCAGUAGGCGUCCGGCUGCCGGACCAAUAUCCACUUCCUAUCAUUAAUAGGACCAUAGAUAUUAAACACAAUCUAAUGGAUCACGUGAUUCCGUUGCCUAUCCCGGUUACGUAGUCUCUAAUAUCUAUGAUAGGACCGGGAUUGAGUUCAAUGUCUCCUGAUAAUAGGAGAAGAAGAGAGACCCACUUGAACAGGUAGCAAGCUGAGUUAUCGGCGACUGAAACCAUAAAAACGAAGAACCAAAGGUAAGUUUUGCUGGGGUUUAAUAAAGUGCUCCUUGUACUGGUACAGCACCAAUGGCCUAUACUGGCCCUCCAUUGAGCAAUAUCGAUCAUCCUGGUCCGUAUAGAGCAAGAAGUGUGUGUUCUUAUCUUUACAGUAAAAAAAUAGCUGAGCUUUCAAAAACAUGCCCCAUCCAAAUUUACCAUAUAAAGAGCAGGAAUUCAAGAAAAUUCAUAGCUAGUGAUUUGCAGAGCUAGCACAUGAUAGAUCUAUUACAGGACCCCCACAACAAAUCAACAUGGACUACAAAGUUAUGAAUUCAUCAAAAUUAACAUUGAGUGUUAACAUGACUUUUUACACAAACAAAAAAUCCAUACAAUUUGUGAACUAUGCAUUUGCUGGUAUUAAUAAUUAGUUGGGUACAGCAUCAAUGAAUUUAAA